RNAcentral lists this ribosomal RNA (510 nucleotides) under uncultured bacterium. Its description in RNAcentral is "partial 16S ribosomal RNA". It matches the Rfam family "Bacterial small subunit ribosomal RNA", at positions 28 to 507 of the family's 1533-position model. The record is from RNAcentral.
GACGAACGCUGGCGGCGUGCUUAACACAUGCAAGUCGAACGAAGAGCGACGGAAGCUUGCUUCUCUCAAUCUUAGUGGCGAACGGGUGAGUAACGCGUAAUCAACCUGCCCUUCAGAGGGGGACAACAGUUGGAAACGACUGCUAAUACCGCAUACGAUCUAACCUCGGCAUCGAGGAUAGAUGAAAGGUGGCCUCUACAUGUAAGCUAUCACUGAAGGAGGGGAUUGCGUCUGAUUAGCUAGUUGGAGGGGUAACGGCCCACCAAGGCGAUGAUCAGUAGCCGGUCUGAGAGGAUGAACGGCCACAUUGGGACUGAGACACGGCCCAAACUCCUACGGGAGGCAGCAGUGGGGAAUCUUCCGCAAUGGACGAAAGUCUGACGGAGCAACGCCGCGUGAGUGAUGACGGCCUUCGGGUUGUAAAGCUCUGUUAAUCGGGACGAAAGGCCUUCUUGCGAAUAGUGAGAAGGAUUGACGGUACCGGAAUAGAAAGCCACGGCUAACUACGUG